AGUGAACGCUGGCGGCGUGCCUAAUACAUGCAAGUCGAACGGAGUGGCGCACGGGUGAGUAAUAUAUAUCUAAUCUGCCCCUUGCUGGAGGACAACAGUUAGAAAUGACUGCUAAAACUCCAUAGCAAGGGAUGGGUCUAUAUCGGAUCAGCUAGUCGGUGGGGGAACGGCCGACCGAGGGUAUGACGCGUAACUGGUCUGAGAGGAUGAUCAGUCAACUUGGACGGGAGACACGGGCGGAGCACAUACGGGAAGCAGCAGUAGGGUGUAUUACGCAAUGGGCGAGACCCUGACGGGGCAUCGCGGUGUGAAGGAUGACACGUUUCGGAGCGUGUACUCCUUUUGUUAGGGAAGCGGUACCUAACGAAGAAGCACCGGCUAACUCCGUGCCAGCAGCCGCGGUAAUUC
This 408-nucleotide ribosomal RNA is filed under the name uncultured bacterium. Its description in RNAcentral is "partial 16S ribosomal RNA". It matches the Rfam family "Bacterial small subunit ribosomal RNA", at positions 29 to 526 of the family's 1533-position model. The record is from RNAcentral.